GGCGGUUGGGGUCACUUUCCCAGAGUCGCUCCAAAACUGUGGGUCCGUGAGACUUUCUCCCAGGAGCCAGAAGUGUUUCAGCUUUGCAGGCGCACCGAGAUGGGAGCCGAGGGAGGGUGGCACCGCGCUUAAUGGGAAUUCAGGGAAGACAGAUUCUUUACUACUGAGCCACUGGGGAAGCCCUGCCUUAUUGAAGGCAGUGAUAUUUAACUGAGCCAAGGUGAAUGGAAAGGAUGAGCAAAGGCCCAGAGGCAAGAGAUCCUGCUGCCCAGGGAGACAGCAGCUGAGAAGUUGAGCAGAUGGCCUGGAGAAGGACUUCGGAUUUCGUUGUCCUCCCAGCACUUCGACCCUCUCCUGAAGCCCCUGGCUAAAAUGGUUUGAACCCAGAAGAAAAAAAAAAUGUGGUUGGGACUUCCUUGGUG
This is a non-coding RNA of Odocoileus virginianus texanus, 422 nucleotides long. Lineage: Eukaryota; Metazoa; Chordata; Mammalia; Artiodactyla; Cervidae. The record is from RefSeq and is a predicted model, not a curated record.